RNA transcript from Hypomesus transpacificus, 2866 nucleotides. It is a transcript of the gene named histamine receptor H2a, with no coding region annotated. Lineage: Eukaryota; Metazoa; Chordata; Actinopteri; Osmeriformes; Osmeridae. The record is from RefSeq and is a predicted model, not a curated record. The transcript is spliced from 5 exons.
GAGAUAGAAAUGCACAAGGGAGACAAAGCUUGGGGGAGCACAUUUAAAUGAUGAAGGGAUUAAAUUGCCUCAGGGAAACAGGAGGAGAAUGAAAGUAAUGACGGAUGAAAAACAAGAACAGGAACUAACAAUCCAAACUUACACAUAGGCAUGCACACGCACACAGACACACACACAAACAUACACCCGUACUCACAGGCACAAACGCAAGCUCACACACACACACACAUUGCGCCAGUGGUAGAGCGAGGGACGUCGCACAGUGCAGAGUGGGGAAGAGGGAAGGAGAGCAGAACAGUGCAGCGGGACACAGAGCGGAAACACACACACCAGGACGUCUGUUGCAUGAAGGUGGGGUUAGGAUCUCAAUGGACCAUCAUCAGUGACAUGGAGCACUGUAAGCCACCCACCACCAGAGGGCAAUGUUCUGCAUUACCAGUGGAACACACUGACCAGUCUCCAGCCUCAGACCACUCCCACUGUCCGAGAAUCCCUAAUGUGUGCUGACUGCUGAUAAGCACAUACACGAGACAUAUCGGGACAGAAACAAGAUAAGACAGAGAACCAAGGAACAAGGGGUAAAACGUUGUAUCUUUGCUUCUAGUUGGUCAGUAUCAGGGUUCCUAUGUUCUCUUGGAACCAAUUCGUUUUCCAAAACAAAGACAUUUCAUAAUGCCCCAUGAGGUAAUUGGAGCAUAGGGCUGGGACGGGGAAACAGAGACAAAAGCUGAUUAGAGAGUGGUGUAUGAUUGGUCCUUCUCCAGGAACCUUUGAGGAUGCAGCUGUCUGUCAUCAUUCUGGGUGUUUUCCUGUCCCUCCUCAUCCUGCUGACCAUAUUUGGCAACGUCCUGGUGUGUCUGGCGGUGUGUGCCACGCGACGUCUCCGCUGCCUCACAAACUGUUUCAUUGUCUCCCUGGCCGUGACUGACUUGCUGCUCGGCAUGCUGGUCCUGCCUUUCUCCGCCCUCCUCCAGCUCUCCAACGAUUGGCCGCUGGGGCCCACCUUCUGCAACCUCUACAUCUCCAUGGAUGUCAUGCUGUGCACCGCCUCCAUCCUCAACCUGUUGGCCAUCAGUGUUGACCGCUACCUGGCCGUGACGGCGCCCCUCAGGUACCCCUCGCUGGUGCUGCCAAGGCGUGUCGCCGUAGUGAUGGCGUCAGUGUGGGCGGUGUCGCUGGCAGUGUCGUUCCUGCCCAUCCAGCUGGGCUGGAACACAUCCAACGGCACCGUGCAGAAUUUCGGCCCCGACGACCCAGAGAGGAAGUGCCUUUUCAGGCUGAACCCAUCUUACGUCAUAGUGGACUCCCUGCUCACCUUCUACCUCCCCCUGCUGGUCAUGUGCUGGACCUACCACCGCAUCCUGCGCAUCGCACGGGCGCAGGCCAAACGCAUCAUCUCCAUGCGGCCCAACUUCAACGGCCCCGCCGCCGCCACCACAGUGGUCUCCACGGUGACGGCGGUGGCGCUGCGCGAGCACAAGGCCACGGUGACUUUGGCGGCGGUGAUUGGGGCGUUUGUGGUGUGCUGGGUGCCCUACUUCACCCUGUUCACCGUCAUGGGGGUGCGAGAGCAGGCGGAGCCCCCGCCCGUAGCCUAUCCCGUGGUGCUGUGGCUGGGCUACACCAACUCCGCCCUCAACCCCAUCCUCUACGCCGCGCUCAACAGAGACUUCCGCUCGGCGUACGCUCGGCUGCUGCGCUGCGGCUACUAUAGCACAGGGAGGGGCCGGCCACCAUCGGCUCACCCGGCGGGGGAGGUGACCCUGCUGUGUGGACACACCCCCUCCAUCUGCAGGGCGGGGCUAGGGGAGACAGGUAUGUUGCUCCAGGACGUGAAUAGAAGACCUGCCAUGGCCACCUUCCAGCUCAGGAAUGGGGCCAAUGGCAAUGACAACACCUCGAUGAAUGCCAGCCAUAGCUCGUGCUGAGGCAAGGCUGGUGUGUGACCAGAAUGUACCAGUAGAUCCAUCCAGCAUCCAGCCUGCAUCCUGACCUGUGUCUCAGAGGGAGGCCAAUGUGUUUGGGAGCAGAUUCGGAGGUAGGAGCGUGAACAUCCGUACGGAGGACACAGAGGCAUGCUCCUUCACAAAGUGUUCUGACAUUUGACAGAUAUGGGUCGAAUCGAAAUAGCGGUCGCCGUGUCAGACGAGACGGGACACAGCCAUGCCAGCUGCAGGGGAGUCCACAACAGCAAGCUCAUAGGACCAGGAAAACUGUAUGCCAUAAAGUAGCGAAAAAACACUGAGUAGCUGACGCAUUGUGGAUUUACUGUAACCUCAUAUGCAGGAUGGAAUAACUGGACGCUCUCACUUCCAGGAAGGAGAAAGUUGACAUUUACCUGGGACUUGAGAUUUCAUUCUCCUUCAUAUUGACUGGAUCUAAUGUGCAGCUAUCACAUGACAUAAAAUCUGGUUCCCAAUUUUUAUUGAGUCAGGCUUGUUACUCCUCAAUAAUAGUUAAUUGGAUAUUCCCUUUGGUAUGUUGAGUUUCUCAUUUUAGAUCACAGGUAUACUACACCGAACUGAAAAGUAAUGAAUUCCCAGUUGUUUCAAAGCAAAUUACAGCAGAAAGGUCAACUAUUGGUAUUCAUUUUGAAAACGCACACAAACACACCAAUGUUCAAUGCAACUUGAAUAAAACCAAGUGGACAGCAGACGAUGAAUUCACUUUCAUGUUAUGAUCUUAUAGGCAACUGGGCAGGACCUAGGCCUAUUAAUUUGAAAGGGUUGGUGAAUAAUAUUUAAUUUAUUUAAACUUGAGCAAAGCAACAGCACAUACUAAAGGAUUAUACAGUACCUACAUUUUGGACAUUAUUUUAACAAAGCCUCAAUCAAGAAUAAUGUGAUUAGCAAUCCUAUGACUCUUC